This 339-nucleotide non-coding RNA is filed under the name Desulfuromonadales bacterium. RNAcentral's name for it is "T-box sequence". It matches the Rfam family "T-box leader". From Rfam's summary of the family: Uncharged tRNA acts as the effector for transcription antitermination of genes in the T-box leader family. T-boxes are found upstream of many aminoacyl-tRNA synthetase genes and some amino acid biosynthetic genes usually in Gram-positive bacteria. The record is from RNAcentral. Lineage: Bacteria; Pseudomonadati; Thermodesulfobacteriota; Desulfuromonadia; Desulfuromonadales.
ACAAAGGCUGUGAUGAGGAGUAGUAGUUGUUUCGGGCUUUCCAGAGAGCCGGUGGUUGGUGUGAACCGGUAAGCACGAAUGAUGAACUCGCCUCGGAGCCGCUUCGGUGAAUUGAAUAAUCGAAGACGUUCUCCCGCGUAAAGGGUGUUUUGAGGCCAGGUGAAUAUACCCGGUUUGGAUUUUGGUUGAGACCAAGGCAGGCAAGAAGGAAACGGCGAGGCGUACAGAUGGUACGUUGAGCCGAUGACGACGAAGCCAACGCUGGUAUCAAGCAAAAGCCGAAGUGGGCGCCGGGCGAAAAGGGUGGUACCGCGAACGCUAUAUGCCUUCGCCCCUGUU